CAACCAAAAAGGCUGGACUUAUAAAUCAAGGAGAGUAUGUGUAGACAUCAAAUUCAGUUAGAAAGGAAAGUGUUAUGGUGUUAAUGAGAAUGCAAUAAUUUAGUGUUAACAGAAACUAGCAAAACAAACAACUAAAGAGAAUCCCGUUAGUUCAGAGAGAUGGUGGAGGGGAGUCAAGGAAUGAAGAGGAAGAGCUGUAUGGGUGAAAGCACAGACGUCACACUGCACUUCUCCAGGUCCAGCGUAAGAGUGACCAGGAGGUUUCUUCAGUUUAUCCACCACUUUAGCCAGCAUGAUGUUUUUAGCUAAAUCAGGCGUUGGGUUGAAGAUCCGUCUGCACUGAGGGC
Carassius auratus (goldfish) is the source of this 347-nucleotide long non-coding RNA. RefSeq lists it as uncharacterized. The record is from RefSeq and is a predicted model, not a curated record. Lineage: Eukaryota; Metazoa; Chordata; Actinopteri; Cypriniformes; Cyprinidae. The transcript is spliced from 3 exons.